UGGCUGAGUUUCAUGUACAAGCCCUGCAACAGCAAUACACACCCUAUUACAAUUAGAAGAUAGCUGCAUAUUCAUUUCUUGUUAAGAAACUUUCUUUUCAUUAUUUUCUUCUGAGUCUAGGAAACUAAAGUAGCAUCAAAAUAAUCACAAAUCAUAAAAUACCCAAUAAUGGUUCUUUAAUCUUUACAGAAUUAGAUUUAAAGUAAUAUCCAAUCCAUGGAUAGGUACUUCCUAAAGCAGUCAUAAAAAUAAGUUGUUUGAUGAAAUACAAUGACCAUUUUAGCCAAAUGUCAAUGACAGGACAAUGUAUAACACUUGCCAAAUUAUAAUUCCAUUUUAAUUUCAAAAUCUUUGCCAAUCUGCUCGGUGAAUGAUUAGAUAUGUGUUCAUUUCUAAAUUAGGCAUGCAAUAAUUACAUUUGUUGUAUGUAUUGUUGCUCCAGUAGUCAUGCUGAUUUUUUGAUCAGGGACCAGCUCGAAGUUCAUCUUCUGCAGAAAAAUCGCAAGGGCAACAAUAGCUUCUAGUAAAGCAAACUGAUCACCAACACAUUUACGAGGUCCUCCACUAAAAGGAAUGAACCUGUGAUUAAUAAUAGCCAAUUCAGAAUCUAGCUGAUAUUAAAUUGGGCAAAUUAAAGCCAAAAAGCAUUGGUUGUGGGGGGGGGUGUGACACCGGACUUUUAAGUUCAAAGAAGAGUGCAUGUUUCUAAGAAAAGAGAGAGAGAAGCAAAAAUAAAAAGAAUCAUAAGAAACAAGUACCUAAAAUCUGUAUUUGUUUCAUUAGGCAUUGGGCCUUCCAAGUCAAAUCUUUCUGGCACAAACUCUUCAGCUCUCUCCCAGACCUUAUAAAAUUAUACCACAAGAAAUACCAUAAGACAAUUCAGGCAGCAAGCUCACCCUUGGUUUCAUGACAGAGGAGGAAAAGAAAUCAAGACUCAUAACUACCUUGAAAUGCAUAUAUGCCCGUUGAGUUUUUCAAUAGCUCACUUGAUAAAAUAUUAAUGAUGAAAAGUAUGAAAUUUCAAUAGCACUUCCCUUUGAUUUGUUCUGGAAAAACAAAUUAUAAUGGAAAUUGCUUUUCAAUUCCAGUUAUAGUUCAGGAAAAGAUAGUUUCAUUCACGAAGUAUGUAGCCAUAGUGGAAUGGAAAUAUAGGAAAAGGAAUUCAUUUGAAUAUGAAAGCCUGUCAGCAUUGGGCCUUGGCUAAGGUGGUAAUAGAAUGUAGAGGGUGUUGAUCCUAAAUUAGAAACUCAACCUUUGAAAAGAGUUUAAUUAAGCAAUCUUAUUGCUUACUUCUCACAAGCUUGCAAUGCAAGCACUUGAAACUUUCAAAUCCAUACCUCAAAGAAAGAACCAAAUUUGAUUCUCAGUUACAAAACAGAUCCAUACCAAAGAGGGCAAUGGUUGCUUAAAAUAUAAGCUUAAACAUAGAAUUCACAUUAUUCAUGGAAAUAGACCUUCAAAAAAUCACAACACAAAGUGAUACCUUUGAGGAGUGAUGGAUAUUGUACACUGAAAUCAUUACAUCUUGACCAGCAUUAACCUUGUAAUUUCCUGGGAGCACAUCAGCGACCUGAGCUCUUCUUAACAAGACAGGAGGAUGGGGGUAGAGACGUAAUGACUCAUUUAUGCAGCAUGUCAAAAACUUUAGAUCCUUUAUAUCUUCAUAGGUAGGAGGUCUUCCUUGUAAUACUCGGUCAACCUCUUCUUGUGCCUUCACUAGUGAGGAUGAAUCCUUACUUAGAAGGUAUAACGUCCAAGUCAACACUGAACCAGUCGUCUCGUGGCCAGCAACUAACAUCGAUAACAAGUCAUCACGUAAUUGUACACUUGAAACCUCUUCCCUGCUAGCAAGCAAGAAGCGAAGGAUGCUUGGAUCAGUGUCAUUUACAUAUUCCUCAACGUCUAUCCUUUCACCCUCGGCCUCCACAAUCUCUUUGCAUUUUGCAAUAAGUUCUUCAACUGUUUGCCUGAUUACUGUAACUGCUUUUUCAGCUUUUAUUUGUCUAGGGAUUAUCUUACAUAAAGCUUUAACCUUCCAAUAUGGCAAAAGAUCUGUGGAACGAGCCUCUGCCUCUUUCAAUGCAGUGUAAACAGCAUCAAUAACAGGGCUAUCAGUGGUGAGAGAAUCAAAAUUGUAAUUGAAGACUGAGAGACCAAUAACAUCAAGAGUUAAUUGAGAGAAUUUUUCCUCCAUAUUUACAGCAGUGCCACUCAGUGCAUCGGGUUGGAGCUUCUCCACCAAUCUCUGAGCACACUUGCAAAAUACUCUAUCAACUAUAAUAGACAAAUACUUCUUGUGAAGUGAUGGAACCACAGCCCUGCGCCUUGCCGUCCAAAGGGGUCCCUCGGCAAUGGCAAACCCCGAGCCGAAGAGAAACUCUGAGACCUCAGAGACAAGGCCCUUAGCGUACUUGCCAUAAUUCCUAAGCACAUGCUUAGCAAUAGCGGGGUCGCUAACCACCACGAAAUUUCUGGGGCCAGCAGCAAGCCUGUAGAUGGGACCGUACUCGUUCAUCCAUUUAAACAAAGGAAGAAACAGAGCGCCACCCAGAAGCUCAGACACAUCCUCAAGCUUAGCACUGGCUAUGGGAAUGCCAGAGUCGUCGUUUUGGCCUAACGUGAGGGUCCGAGAGAGGGAAGUGAGCCAGUCUGGGCUAACCCAAGAACUGGAUUUAACGGUAUUUGAAAUGGGUUUCCGAGUUUUGUUAUCUUGAGAGGAUUUAAUGGAGAGAAAUUGAGGUUUUGGAAUAAGAGAGGAGGAAGUGGACUUGAAGAAAGGGGUUGGGAGUGAGAAAGAAGAGAGGGGAUACGAAAGUGGCACCAUGACUGUUAAAAAUAGCCAAAACGACGACGUUGUUAAUGUCACUCCGCUGUCUCCAUUUCCUUUAUAUGGGUCUCGCUCUCCCCAGUGGCCAUGGCUGCUGUCUG
RNAcentral lists this unclassified non-coding RNA (2928 nucleotides) under Hevea brasiliensis (rubber tree). Lineage: Eukaryota; Viridiplantae; Streptophyta; Magnoliopsida; Malpighiales; Euphorbiaceae. The record is from RNAcentral.